This 497-nucleotide ribosomal RNA is filed under the name uncultured bacterium. RNAcentral describes it as "partial 16S ribosomal RNA". It matches the Rfam family "Bacterial small subunit ribosomal RNA", at positions 28 to 507 of the family's 1533-position model. The record is from RNAcentral.
GAUGAACGCUGGCGGCGUGCCUAAUACAUGCAAGUCGAGCGAACGGACGAGAAGCUUGCUUCUCUGAUGUUAGCGGCGGACGGGUGAGUAACACGUGGAUAACCUACCUAUAAGACUGGGAUAACUUCGGGAAACCGGAGCUAAUACCGGAUAAUAUUUUGAACCGCAUGGUUCAAAAGUGAAAGACGGUCUUGCUGUCACUUAUAGAUGGAUCCGCGCUGCAUUAGCUAGUUGGUAAGGUAACGGCUUACCAAGGCAACGAUGCAUAGCCGACCUGAGAGGGUGAUCGGCCACACUGGAACCGAGAAACGGUCCAGACUCCUGCGGGAGGCAGCAGUAGGGAAUCUUCCGCAAUGGGCGAAAGCCUGACGGAGCAACGCCGCGUGAGUGAUGAAGGUCUUCGGAUCGUAAAACUCUGUUAUUAGGGAAGAACAUAUGUGUAAGUAACUGUGCACAUCUUGACGGUACCUAACCAGAAAGCCACGGCUAACUACGUG